This 76-nucleotide transfer RNA is filed under the name Clostridiales bacterium. RNAcentral describes it as "tRNA-Ala". It matches the Rfam family "tRNA". Rfam says of the family: Transfer RNA (tRNA) molecules are approximately 80 nucleotides in length. Their secondary structure includes four short double-helical elements and three loops (D, anti-codon, and T loops). Lineage: Bacteria; Bacillati; Bacillota; Clostridia; Eubacteriales. The record is from RNAcentral. RNAcentral also lists the same sequence under 2 other names.
GGGGGUAUAGCUCAGUUGGUAGAGCGCUUGAAUGGCAUUCAAGAGGCCAGCGGUUCGAACCCGCUUAUCUCCACCA